UAACUGCGCGUCAUAGUGUGAACUGCAGGACACAUUUGAACAUCGACAUUUCGAACGCACAUUGCGGUCCGUGGAGAAACAUCCAGGACCACUCCUGUCUGAGGGCCGGCUGUAUAAAAUCAUAUGCCACACUGUUCGUCUGUGCGACGAACAAUUGACGGUUCCGGACGGUGUCGCGCUUGUGUUUGGGUACGUCACGUCCCUGCCGCGCCUCCCGUGCGGUCCGUUCAAAUAUUAUGAGACAUAAAUGUAAUAUAACGUUACGUGUCGUGUGGUGUGUACGGUAGCGCGCUCGCGUCGGCGACGUGCGCCGCUCCCCGCCGACGCUCCGUGAAGGUGAAAAAUUUGCGAGAGCGAUUAUCGGCGAGCGGGGCGUGCACGCGCGUCGAACUGUGUCGUCGACGCGCAGAACGCGCUGCGUGUACACUCUUUUUCCUAACGAAGAAAACACCACCGUCGAAAACACUGUUAUAUUAUUUGAAAUGAUAGACAGUAGGCGGACUCGACGUCCGAAGGGCGCGUCGUCGACGCCGACGUACCGAUUGAUUUCGGUCGCGGAGGCGGAGUCGUUGCGCUGACGGAUAUCGCGUCUGCCUCAAUUUUUUAUCGUUGGCCUCAGAUCAGGGAGGAUCACCCGCCGAAUUUAA
This 647-nucleotide ribosomal RNA is filed under the name Polyommatus icarus (common blue). RNAcentral's name for it is "partial 5.8S ribosomal RNA". The stretch from base 1 to 108 matches the Rfam family "5.8S ribosomal RNA", at positions 50 to 154 of the family's 154-position model. Lineage: Eukaryota; Metazoa; Arthropoda; Insecta; Lepidoptera; Lycaenidae. The record is from RNAcentral.